RNAcentral lists this ribosomal RNA (492 nucleotides) under uncultured bacterium. RNAcentral's name for it is "partial 16S ribosomal RNA". It matches the Rfam family "Bacterial small subunit ribosomal RNA", at positions 29 to 507 of the family's 1533-position model. The record is from RNAcentral.
AGUGAACGCUGGCGGUAGGCCUAACACAUGCAAGUCGAACGGCAGCACAGUAAGAGCUUGCUCUUACGGGUGGCGAGUGGCGGACGGGUGAGGAAUACAUCGGAAUCUACUUUUGCUUGGGGGAUAACGUAGGGAAACUUACGCUAAUACCGCAGACGACCUACGGGUGAAAGCAUGGGAUCUUCGGACCUUGCACGAUUGAAGGAGGCGAUGUCGGAUUAGCUAGUUGGCGGGGUAAAGGCCCACCAAGGCGACGAUCCGUAGCUGGUCUGAGAGGAUGAUCAGCCACACUGGAACUGAGACACGGUCCAGACUCCUACGGGAGGCAGCAGUGGGGAAUAUUGGACAAUGGGCGCAAGCCUGAUCCAGCCAUACCGCGUGGGUGAAGAAGGCCUUCGGGUUGUAAAGCCCUUUUGUUGGGAAAGAAAAGCAGCAGGUUAAUACCCCGCUGUUCUGACGGUACCCAAAGAAUAAGCACCGGCUAACUUCGUG